AGAGUUUGAUCCUGGCUCAGAUUGAACGCUGGCGGAAUGCUUUACACAUGCAAGUCGAACGGCAGCACGGGAGCUUGCUCCUGGUGGCGAGUGGCGAACGGGUGAGUAACAUAUCGGAACGUACCUAGUAAUGGGGGAUAACUAGUCGAAAGAUUAGCUAAUACCGCAUACGCCCUGAGGGGGAAAGCGGGGGAUCGUAAGACCUCGCGUUAUUAGAGCGGCCGAUAUCUGAUUAGCUAGUUGGUGGGGUAAAAGCCUACCAAGGCGACGAUCAGUAGCUGGUCUGAGAGGACGACCAGCCACACUGGAACUGAGACACGGUCCAGACUCCUACGGGAGGCAGCAGUGGGGAAUUUUGGACAAUGGGCGCAAGCCUGAUCCAGCCAUUCCGCGUGAGUGAAGAAGGCCUUCGGGUUGUAAAGCUCUUUCGCAAGGGAAGAAACGAUGCAGUCGAAUAAACUGCGUUAAUGACGGUACCUUGAUAAGAAGCACCGGCUAACUACGUGCCAGCAGCCGCGGUAAUACGUAGGGUGCGAGCGUUAAU
Molecule: ribosomal RNA, 544 nt
Filed under: uncultured bacterium
Lineage: Bacteria
Description: bacterial SSU rRNA
Rfam family: Bacterial small subunit ribosomal RNA
Source: RNAcentral